CCUGCAGUGGUCUGUCCGAGGCCUUGUGGUUAACUUGACCCCACCAGCCCCAGGGCAAUGGCUAUGCACUUCUCAUUGAGGCUCCCUAGGAAUGCUGUUCUUCUCCAAACACAUGUCAGAUUCUUUUUUUUUUUUUUAAAGUUCAUUUAUUAUUAUUUUUUUUAGUAAUCCCUCCCCUCACCAUGGGGCUCGCACUCACAACCCCAAGAUCAAGAGUCAUGUGCUCCUUCCACUGCACCAGCCAGGUGGCUCCAUGCAUUUCAGAUUCUGAAUCACUUGCCCUGACACAAGCUUUCAAGGUUCCGCGGUGGCAUCUUCAUGGCACUCCAGACGUUGGCACGGCUGCUCCUGUGGGCAGAGGCCCCUCCGGAAGUGGUCAGAGAUGGAAGUGAUCUGCGAGGCCUGGGACAGUGUGGAGUGUGCUGGAGACAGGCCUGCCGCAGGGCCGGAGGACAGGAGUUCCUAGCAGGGGCCCACGGAGGGACCUCAGGCCAUUUCAGCACUGAAGAGGCCCCCAGCAGGUCCCACAUUUACCAGAAAGGCUUUGAAAACCAGGGAAAAGGGAUCAUGCUUCCUCCUGGCAGGCUGGAAUACCCAUCACUAUUACGGCUGCAGCAGGGGACCCUUUGUGGCCUCACCCUCAUUGAUGCAGCCUCUUUGUCUUGUGUUUUCUUCAGUUUUCUUAAUAAACCAGGAGCCCCCUGUGGUGGGGGAGGGCAUUAAGUCUUUUUUUUCUCCCCCUCACAGCUUUAUGGAGGUGUAGUUUACAUACCAUAAAAUUCACCUGUUUUAAGGAUAAAAUUUAACCAUUUUUAGUAAACCUAGAGAGCUAUGUGACUGUCACUGCUCUUCAGUUUGAGAACCUCUCUGUCGCCCCUGGAAGAUGCCUCCUGUCUACCUGCAGCCAGUCCCUGGUUCCACACCCAGGACCCAGGCCACUGUUCAUCGGCUUUCUCUGUUUACAGAUUUGCCUCUUCUGGGCAUCUCACAGGAGUGGAAUUGUGUGCUAGGCAGGUCUUUUCUGUCUGGCUCCUUUCACUGAAAACUCGACUCGUUAUGUUCAUUCCAUAGAGGAUAGUUAAGUAAACAAAAAUAGGAAUUGCCAAUAAAAGACACAUCUGAAAAACUGUUUCAUCGAAGUCAUCUUUGGUCACCAUUCAACUAAUUUAUGUUUCAUGAACUUUCUACACAUGUAUUUUGACUCAUUGUGGUUCAGAAGUCCCUGCUGUGUUUACAGGUUAGGUUUUGUGUAGAUUUGUUUAGUAAGAGCAAGCGGACUUUUGUGAUAUUUAAAAUGAAAUCCCAAGUUUAAACUUCUGAAUAUUAGGAACAGCCUGUGCCAUGCCAGAUAGAAACUGAUUGUGAACGUUCCAGAGUUCAUAUGGGAAUGAACCCCUUGGUGUCUUUACAUGUUAACCUCAUGAAGAAAUUGUCCCAUUCUGAAGUGUUAGGUGAUUCCAUGGAGAAUUGGAAAGUCAUUCCUGUAUGGCAUCAUGGUUCAUACUUGUCUAAAUCAUACCAACAAAACAAAACAAAACAAAAAACCAUACAAAAACAUCUCUAAGCUUUCUGUAACUGAUUACAAAUGGGGAGGGAGAAAAGACAAGUUCACAGACUUUACAAGCUAGAAGGGGCUCCUCUGUGGUCUUCUGCUCAACACCUGCCUUUGCAGAGUGACACAAAGUUAACUGACCUGCACUGAUGUGUGGCCCAAGCAGGCCAAGAAUCUGCAGAUUCUCACCAGAAAUCUGGAGCCUUUAUGACGUCCAGCUGCUGCCUUGCACUCAGCAGGUAUGGGAGUACUACUUUGGAAGGACUUUACUAUCAAGGACGUCAGGGCAAACCUCUAAUGAAAACUGUCACUGGAUCUUUAAUGAGAAGGAGGGUCGUCUAUUCUAAAGGACUGUCUGGAAGUAAAAAAUCAUGGGCUACCUGUUCCGGGGGAAGUCUGUAACCUUCUCCACAAUCUCCUUCCACCUUCCUUGAGUGCAGCCCUGGGUUACUUUGGGAAGCUUGUGGCUGAUUUUCCUGGAAAUGAGUCACUAGGUACUUGCAUCAGCUGAUCAGUCCUGGGUCAGUGCUGGGGCUGUGGAGCCAGGUCUGUGUUUGGGGAAAGGGGGAUUUGAAGGUGGUGGCUGUCAGGGUCAGAAAGACUGAGGGAGGAGGCUCUGCUGGCCCAGGGGAGCUGGGGCCACAUGGUACUUGAGUCUGGGCAGGUGGCCCUCACACAGUUCUUGGAAUAGGCUGCAGCGUUGAUAUACACACGUACUGCUUAUUGACCCAGGUAUAAUGAAGAGGUUUUACAUACUUCUGGAGCUUUGAACAGGCACGUGAAGCAGACAUUCUCCAGACAAAGACACCAAGGUUGUGAGAAGCUAAGGGACUUGUCCCAAGCCACGUGGCUAGUGAGCGCAGGAGCCAGCAUUCAAACCCAGGGCUGAGAAACAGUCCAUCGCAUGGACAGACCACAUGGUGUUUAUCCAUUCCUGAGCUGAUGGAUGUUUGGUUUGUGUCCGCUUUUUGACCAUUUGAACAACGCUGCUGUGAACACUGGUGGCGGGGACGUGGUGUUUUGGAUGACCCCCAAAUCCAGCCCGUGGGAUCAAAAAGAGAACAGCCAGGUUCUCCUCCAAGAUUGGAAACAGAGAUCUGGGGAGGGCAUGCUUCACGGCUGCGCAGCUCAAGUCCAAGUACCGCGUCUCCUCUAGCUUCAUGGCUCCUAGCACCAGGCACAGCCAGAGGAUGCCGGGGCAGCUCAAGUCCAAGUACCGUGUCUCCUCUAGCUUCAUGGCUCCUAGCACCAGGCACAGCCAGGGGAUGCCGGGGCCCCAGGUGUGGGGGAAACAGCCGUCUGAGAUGAAGCCUACACAGCCAAUAGCGUGAUGCUCACACCCAGAAUCUGGACAUUUAGAGAAGGACCUGAGCUUAGGAUGCCUGUCCUGAGUUGCCACUUGGCUUUUUCCAGCUUUUAAAAUAAUGACUUAUAGUUGAUCCUGAGCAAAGUUAGUGACCUCAGCCCCAGACAACUUGUAAUAGGUGCUUACUACCCUACUGUCUGUCUUCUGUUGCCUUGUGACCUGGGAUGGAAAACGGUGCUUCCCCUGGCUCACUGCCACCCCUCUCCUCAUUCCUGGGAUCUGUAAGUAACAAUACAUCUUGUGGCUCUUGUCAGGGUGCAUUGCAACUUGCCUUCAAACAAAACAUCUAAGGUUUUCUCGUCCCCCAAAUGGGAGCUUGGAUGCUGAGGGAGCCACAUGCUACCCCCAUGUGAGGGGGUCAUGCCUCCUUACUCAGCAAGCCAUAAUCUGCAUAUUAUUAGUUUAAUACACCAGCUACGGGCCUCUGGACACACCAGGCAAGUGCACCCUUGGGGUGCACCAAUCUCAUGUCAUCUGAGAAGCAUGGUCACUUACAUGAUGCUCAUGCUAAUAACGUAGUCCUUCUAGUAGGGCUUCAAUCUCCUAAGUCUUUUUAUAAGAAAGUAAAAAUUAGCAAUUUGGGGUACAUUUUAUUUUAUUAAAAUGCUUUUGAUUUAACAUACUGUGACUAUCUCUCUGUUACUAUAUUUCUAGUGGCAUCAUUUUUAAAGGCUUCAAAAUACUUCACUGUUUAUACUCUGUACUAUAAUGUGCAUUUUAUGUUAUAUAAAUAGAUACCUUAUUCAUGUACAAAAUAAAUAAUGUGUCAUCAGCUA
Molecule: long non-coding RNA, 3694 nt
Organism: Canis lupus familiaris (dog)
Lineage: Eukaryota; Metazoa; Chordata; Mammalia; Carnivora; Canidae
Exons: 3
Source: RefSeq, a predicted model, not a curated record